GUUAAAAAGCUCGUAGUUGGAUUUCGGAGUGGGCCAGUUGGUCCGCCGCAAGGUGUGUUACUGACUGGUUUGCUCUUCUUCGCAAAGACUGCGUGUGCUCUUGAGUGAGUGUGCGUAGGAUUUACGACGUUUACUUUGAAAAAAUUAGAGUGUUCAAAGCAGGCUAUUGCUUGAAUACAUGAGCAUGGAAUAAUGGAAUAGGACUUUGGUCCCAUUUUGUUGGUUUCUAGGGCCGAAGUAAUGAUUAAGAGGGACAAUUGGGGGCAUCCGUAUUUCGUUGUCAGAGGUGAAAUUCUUGGAUUUACGAAAGACGAA
Molecule: ribosomal RNA, 315 nt
Filed under: uncultured marine eukaryote
Lineage: Eukaryota
Description: SSU rRNA
Rfam family: Eukaryotic small subunit ribosomal RNA
Source: RNAcentral